AAUCGUACGUAGAGUGUAAAGGCAAAAGAGAGCUUGAUUGCAAGACAUACAGGUCGAGCAAGGAUGAAAAUCGGACUUAGUGAUCCGGUGGUUCUGCGUGGAAGGGCCAUCGCUCAACGGAUAAAAGCUACCCUGGGGAUAACAGGCUUAUCUCCCCCAAGAGUCCACAUCGACGGGGAGGUUUGGCACCUCGAUGUCGGCUCAUCACAUCCUGGGGCUGUAGUAGGUCCCAAGGGUUGGGCUGUUCGCCCAUUAAAGUGGUACGCGAGCUGGGUUCAGAACGUCGUG
This 288-nucleotide ribosomal RNA is filed under the name Clostridioides difficile. RNAcentral's name for it is "partial 23S ribosomal RNA". It matches the Rfam family "Bacterial large subunit ribosomal RNA", at positions 2336 to 2623 of the family's 2925-position model. Lineage: Bacteria; Bacillati; Bacillota; Clostridia; Peptostreptococcales; Peptostreptococcaceae. The record is from RNAcentral.